This 639-nucleotide ribosomal RNA is filed under the name uncultured Actinomycetes bacterium. RNAcentral describes it as "bacterial SSU rRNA". It matches the Rfam family "Bacterial small subunit ribosomal RNA", at positions 232 to 885 of the family's 1533-position model. The record is from RNAcentral. Lineage: Bacteria; Bacillati; Actinomycetota; Actinomycetes.
CGCGGCCUAUCAGCUUGUUGGUGAGGUAACGGCUCACCAAGGCAUCGACGGGUAGCUGGUCUGAGAGGACGAUCAGCCACACUGGGACUGAGACACGGCCCAGACUCCUACGGGAGGCAGCAGUAGGGAAUCUUGCGCAAUGGGCGAAAGCCUGACGCAGCAACGCCGCGUGGGGGAUGAAUGCCUUCGGGUUGUAAACCCCUUUCAGCAGGGACGAAAAUGACGGUACCUGCAGAAGAAGCUCCGGCCAACUACGUGCCAGCAGCCGCGGUAAUACGUAGGGAGCGAGCGUUGUCCGGAAUUAUUGGGCGUAAAGAGCUCGUAGGCGGUUCAGUAAGUCGGGUGUGAAAACUCAAGGCUCAACCUUGAGACGCCACUCGAUACUGCUGUGACUUGAGUCCGGUAGAGGAGUGUGGAAUUCCUGGUGUAGCGGUGAAAUGCGCAGAUAUCAGGAGGAACACCAGCGGCGAAGGCGGCACUCUGGGCCGGUACUGACGCUGAGGAGCGAAAGCAAGGGGAGCAAACAGGAUUAGAUACCCUGGUAGUCCAUGCCGUAAACGUUGGGCACUAGGUAUGGGAUCAUAUCAACGGAUUCCGUGCCGUAGCUAACGCAUUAAGUGCCCCGCCUGGGGAGUACGG